RNAcentral lists this ribosomal RNA (484 nucleotides) under uncultured bacterium. RNAcentral's name for it is "partial 16S ribosomal RNA". It matches the Rfam family "Bacterial small subunit ribosomal RNA", at positions 32 to 507 of the family's 1533-position model. The record is from RNAcentral.
AUUUAACUCUUUCUUCAUGCCUAACACAUGCAAGUCGAGCGGAUGAAGGGAGCUUGCUCCUGGAUUCAGCGGCGGACGGGUGAGUAAUGCCUAGGAAUCUGCCUGGUAGUGGGGGAUAACGUCCGGAAACGGGCGCUAAUACCGCAUACGUCCUGAGGGAGAAAGUGGGGGAUCUUCGGACCUCACGCUAUCAGAUGAGCCUAGGUCGGAUUAGCUAGUUGGUGGGGUAAAGGCCUACCAAGGCGACGAUCCGUAACUGGUCUGAGAGGAUGAUCAGUCACACUGGAACUGAGACACGGUCCAGACUCCUACGGGAGGCAGCAGUGGGGAAUAUUGGACAAUGGGCGAAAGCCUGAUCCAGCCAUGCCGCGUGUGUGAAGAAGGUCUUCGGAUUGUAAAGCACUUUAAGUUGGGAGGAAGGGCAGUAAGUUAAUACCUUGCUGUUUUGACGUUACCAACAGAAUAAGCACCGGCUAACUUCGUG